This 478-nucleotide ribosomal RNA is filed under the name uncultured bacterium. RNAcentral describes it as "bacterial SSU rRNA". It matches the Rfam family "Bacterial small subunit ribosomal RNA", at positions 365 to 833 of the family's 1533-position model. The record is from RNAcentral.
UUCGCAAUGCCCGAAAGGGUGACGAAGCGACGCCGCGUGGGUGAGGAAGGCCUUCGGGUUGUAAAGCCCUGUCAGGAGUUAAGAAAUGUAGGUGCGCUAAUAUCGUGCCUAUUUGACAAAGGCUCCAAAGGAAGCCACGGCUAACUCUGUGCCAGCAGCCGCGGUAAUACAGAGGUGGCAGGCGUUGUUCGGAAUUAUUGGGCGUAAAGAGCACGUAGGUGGUUUUGUAAGUCAGAUGUGAAAGCCUUCUGUUCAACGGGAGAAUUGCAUCUGAAACUACAAACCUUGAGUAUAGGAGGGGAGAAUGGAACUCCUGGUGGAGCGGUGAAAUGCGUAGAUAUCAGAAGGAACGCCGGCGGCGAAAGCGAUUCUCUGGCCUAUUACUGACACUCAGUGUGCGAAAGCUAGGGGAGCAAACGGGAUUAGAUACCCCGGUGGUCCUAGCCGUAAACGAUGGGCACUAAGUAGAGGGGUUUUA